UGGGGAAUUUUGGACAAUGGGGGAAACCCUGAUCCAGCCAUCCCGCGUGUGCGAUGAAGGCCUUCGGGUUGUAAAGCACUUUUGGCAGGAAAGAAACGUCGCGGGUUAAUACCCCGCGAAACUGACGGUACCUGCAGAAUAAGCACCGGCUAACUACGUGCCAGCAGCCGCGGUAAUACGUAGGGUGCAAGCGUUAAUCGGAAUUACUGGGCGUAAAGCGUGCGCAGGCGGUUCGGAAAGAAAGAUGUGAAAUCCCAGAGCUUAACUUUGGAACUGCAUUUUUAACUACCGGGCUAGAGUGUGUCAGAGGGAGGUGGAAUUCCGCGUGUAGCAGUGAAAUGCGUAGAUAUGCGGAGGAACACCGAUGGCGAAGGCAGCCUCCUGGGAUAACACUGACGCUCAUGCACGAAAGCGUGGGGAGCAAACAGGAUUAGAUGCCCUGGUAGUCCACGCCCUAAACGAUGUCAACUAGCUGUUGGGGCCUUCGGGCCUUGGUAGCGCAGCUAACGCGUGAAGUUGACCGCCUGGGGAGUACGGUCGCAAGAUUAAAACUUAAAGGAAUUG
Molecule: ribosomal RNA, 564 nt
Filed under: uncultured bacterium
Lineage: Bacteria
Description: partial 16S ribosomal RNA
Rfam family: Bacterial small subunit ribosomal RNA
Source: RNAcentral